GAUGAAUCUAGACUUGUUCCUCUUAAUUUGCCUGGAGAUUAUGCUAGAGCUUUAAAAGAUGGUCCUGGCCAUGGUGGUGUUGCAGCAAUAGUAGAUGACCGUGCAUAUGUGGAGUUUUUCCUUUCAACGCGUUGCCAAUUCAGUAUUCUGGGUCAAGAAUUCAAAAAAAAUGGAAGGGGGUUUGUAAGUAGCUCUCUGUCAACUUCACCUUUCUGCUUUUACAUGUCUCGACUUUCCCUUUAUUAUACAUGUGAACCUGCCUUUGUGAAUUUAUCUCACUCUGUGAUGAAUUGACCAUAUUAUUAGCUAUCAAUAUUAACAACAUAAAGAGAUGAUGAAAUCGUGAAUCCUGUGAAUUCAAGUUUAGAAAAAUUGAUAAUGCAUGAGAAGUCUGUGCAUCUAACACUUGCAAAUCUGACAAGAAAAGUCUUUUUUCUACUGAUGCAUGGUUUUCUCCUUUGCUCCUUGUGAUAAGGAAUGAUUCUGCUUGGAAAAUGCUGACUAAACAUGCUCCUGAAGGUGAAUCAUACUACUAUUAGCUCAAUAUAUAAAAAGAGACUGAAAAUUUGGAAGUAUAAUUAUUAAAAUAAUUGAAUAAAAUGUACAAAGAGAAUAAUCAAAUAGGAUAAACAGUCAUAAAGAACUUACGUAAAAUCUAACUUUAUCCUAUGUUGGAUUACGGGUAUGGGUCACCCAUGUGGACCGACUCGACCUGACCCGACCAACCCGACCUGUUUCUUAUCAGGAAAAUAAGAUUAUUACAUAAUCUUAAUUCAAAAGAAAAAGAGGGGAGCAGUUGUAACCGUUCCCGCUCCAAAAGAUCUCAUAUAUGAUCUUAAUUCUUCUUCUCUUUUCUGAUAAGUGCAAGAGAGAAAAUACAGAGAGAAAAAUUGGGUCUUGAAAAAAUAGAAUCAAAAUUGACACAACACCAAACAAAAGCAUUUAGUUCGUGAAAUAUCAUUCCGUUUCCACAAGAAACGUAAUCGACUUAGAGCAAAAUCUUUUCGGAAGCAAAAACUACGAUCCGCUGCAAAUUUUAAGGUACACAACUUAUUGUUUUGCUCCAAAAUUACUUUCAAUGGUAUCAGAGUCAGGUUAAAUUGCUCCGAUUUAAAUGAUUUUGAUGUUGAGUUUAACUCUUCUUAUAAUUGAAAAUGAUACCUGUAAGAGAUCAAUGUAGUCCAGAACGUAAUCACAAUUUUGAACCACGGAUUUUGUUGCUGAUCUUUUUCCUUCGUUUGAUGACAUAACUCUGUUAAUUCUGUGAAAUAAAAAAAUAAAAUAAAGGAGAAGGAGUAGCAUAACAAGAUCUAUAAUAGAUCUGUGCAAAAAGGAAUUUCUAUAUCCUUCAAUUUUUUUUGAGAAAUAAUUAAAAGUUCUGUUUGUUUGUGAAUGAUAAAGAAUUGUCAAGGAUGAGGCGAUUUAUAUUUUUUUGCAAAAGAGGGUGUAAAACUAUUCCUUCUUUCCUUGAAAUAACGAAUGUUAAAUGAAAUUGCGAAGUGAUGUACAACUUGUAAAAGUACACCAUGUAGUGCUCUUAAAUAAUUUUUUAAAAUAAUAAUGAAGGCCUAAUAUCCGUGUAAAGAAAUUGGAUUGUUCUUUGCCUUACUUUUGACUUUGUCAAAUUGGUGAUAAAAACAGUAAAUGCUUUUUUCUAGAAAAGGGUGCAUA
Molecule: long non-coding RNA, 1671 nt
Filed under: Capsicum annuum
Lineage: Eukaryota; Viridiplantae; Streptophyta; Magnoliopsida; Solanales; Solanaceae
Description: long non-coding RNA (CANN_LNC013455)
Source: RNAcentral